AUUGAACGCUGGCGGCAGGCCUAACACAUGCAGGUCGAGCGGAUGAAGGGAGCUUGCUCCUGGAUUCAGCGGCGGACGGGUGAGUAAUGCCUAGGAAUCUGCCUGGUAGUGGGGGAUAACGUCCGGAAACGGGCGCUAAUACCGCAUACGUCCUGAGGGAGAAAGUGGGGGAUCUUCGGACCUCACGCUAUCAGAUGAGCCUAGGUCGGAUUAGCUAGUUGGUGGGGUAAAGGCCUACCAAGGCGACGAUCCGUAACUGGUCUGAGAGGAUGAUCAGUCACACUGGAACUGAGACACGGUCCAGACUCCUACGGGAGGCAGCAGUGGGGAAUAUUGGACAAUGGGCGAAAGCCUGAUCCAGCCACGCCGCGUGUGUGAAGAAGGUCUUCGGAUUGUAAAGCACUUUAAGUUGGGAGGAAGGGCAGUAAGUUAAUACCUUGCUGUUUUGACGUUACCAACAGAAUAAGCACCGGCUAACUUCGUG
RNAcentral lists this ribosomal RNA (484 nucleotides) under uncultured bacterium. RNAcentral describes it as "partial 16S ribosomal RNA". It matches the Rfam family "Bacterial small subunit ribosomal RNA", at positions 30 to 507 of the family's 1533-position model. The record is from RNAcentral.